UUAAGUUAUUAAGGGCGCACGGUGGAUGCCUUGGCACUAGAAGCCGAUGAAGGACGUUACUAACGACGAUAUGCUUUGGUGAGCUGUAAGUAAGCUUUGAUCCAGAGAUUUCCGAAUGGGGAAACCCAGCAUGAGUUAUGUCAUGUUAUCGAUAUGUGAAUACAUAGCAUAUCAGAAGGCACACCCGGAGAACUGAAACAUCUUAGUACCCGGAGGAAGAGAAAGAAAAUUCGAUUCCCUUAGUAGCGGCGAGCGAAAUGGGAAGAGCCCAAACCAACAAGCUUGCUUGUUGGGGUUGUAGGACACUCUAUACGGAGUUACAAAGGACGACAUUAGACGAAUCAUCUGGAAAGAUGAAUCAAAGAAGGUAAUAAUCCUGUAGUCGAAAAUGUUGUCUCUCUUGAGUGGAUCCUGAGUACGACGGAGCACGUGAAAUUCCGUCGGAAUCUGGGAGGACCAUCUCCUAAGGCUAAAUACUCUCUAGUGACCGAUAGUGAACCAGUACCGUGAGGGAAAGGUGAAAAGCACCCCGGAAGGGGAGUGAAAUAGAACCUGAAACCGUGUGCUUACAAGUAGUCAGAGCCCGUUAAUGGGUGAUGGCGUGCCUUUUGUAGAAUGAACCGGCGAGUUACGAUUUGAUGCAAGGUUAAGCAGUAAAUGUGGAGCCGUAGCGAAAGCGAGUCUGAAUAGGGCGUUUAGUAUUUGGUCGUAGACCCGAAACCAGGUGAUCUACCCUUGGUCAGGUUGAAGUUCAGGUAACACUGAAUGGAGGACCGAACCGACUUACGUUGAAAAGUGAGCGGAUGAACUGAGGGUAGCGGAGAAAUUCCAAUCGAACCUGGAGAUAGCUGGUUCUCUCCGAAAUAGCUUUAGGGCUAGCCUCAAGUGAUGAUUAUUGGAGGUAGAGCACUGUUUGGACGAGGGGCCCCUCUCGGGUUACCGAAUUCAGACAAACUCCGAAUGCCAAUUAAUUUAACUUGGGAGUCAGAACAUGGGUGAUAAGGUCCGUGUUCGAAAGGGAAACAGCCCAGACCACCAGCUAAGGUCCCAAAAUAUAUGUUAAGUGGAAAAGGAUGUGGCGUUGCCCAGACAACUAGGAUGUUGGCUUAGAAGCAGCCAUCAUUUAAAGAGUGCGUAAUAGCUCACUAGUCGAGUGACACUGCGCCGAAAAUGUACCGGGGCUAAACAUAUUACCGAAGCUGUGGAUUGUCCUUUGGACAAUGGUAGGAGAGCGUUCUAAGGGCGUUGAAGCAUGAUCGUAAGGACAUGUGGAGCGCUUAGAAGUGAGAAUGCCGGUGUGAGUAGCGAAAGACGGGUGAGAAUCCCGUCCACCGAUUGACUAAGGUUUCCAGAGGAAGGCUCGUCCGCUCUGGGUUAGUCGGGUCCUAAGCUGAGGCCGACAGGCGUAGGCGAUGGAUAACAGGUUGAUAUUCCUGUACCACCUAUAAUCGUUUUAAUCGAUGGGGGGACGCAGUAGGAUAGGCGAAGCGUGCGAUUGGAUUGCACGUCUAAGCAGUAAGGCUGAGUAUUAGGCAAAUCCGGUACUCGUUAAGGCUGAGCUGUGAUGGGGAGAAGACAUUGUGUCUUCGAGUCGUUGAUUUCACACUGCCGAGAAAAGCCUCUAGAUAGAAAAUAGGUGCCCGUACCGCAAACCGACACAGGUAGUCAAGAUGAGAAUUCUAAGGUGAGCGAGCGAACUCUCGUUAAGGAACUCGGCAAAAUGACCCCGUAACUUCGGGAGAAGGGGUGCUCUUUAGGGUUAACGCCCAGAAGAGCCGCAGUGAAUAGGCCCAAGCGACUGUUUAUCAAAAACACAGGUCUCUGCUAAACCGUAAGGUGAUGUAUAGGGGCUGACGCCUGCCCGGUGCUGGAAGGUUAAGAGGAGUGGUUAGCUUCUGCGAAGCUACGAAUCGAAGCCCCAGUAAACGGCGGCCGUAACUAUAACGGUCCUAAGGUAGCGAAAUUCCUUGUCGGGUAAGUUCCGACCCGCACGAAAGGCGUAACGAUUUGGGCACUGUCUCAACGAGAGACUCGGUGAAAUCAUAGUACCUGUGAAGAUGCAGGUUACCCGCGACAGGACGGAAAGACCCCGUGGAGCUUUACUGUAGCCUGAUAUUGAAAUUCGGCACAGCUUGUACAGGAUAGGUAGGAGCCUUUGAAACGUGAGCGCUAGCUUACGUGGAGGCGCUGGUGGGAUACUACCCUAGCUGUGUUGGCUUUCUAACCCGCACCACUUAUCGUGGUGGGAGACAGUGUCAGGCGGGCAGUUUGACUGGGGCGGUCGCCUCCUAAAAGGUAACGGAGGCGCUCAAAGGUUCCCUCAGAAUGGUUGGAAAUCAUUCAUAGAGUGUAAAGGCAUAAGGGAGCUUGACUGCGAGACCUACAAGUCGAGCAGGGUCGAAAGACGGACUUAGUGAUCCGGUGGUUCCGCAUGGAAGGGCCAUCGCUCAACGGAUAAAAGCUACCCCGGGGAUAACAGGCUUAUCUCCCCCAAGAGUUCACAUCGACGGGGAGGUUUGGCACCUCGAUGUCGGCUCAUCGCAUCCUGGGGCUGUAGUCGGUCCCAAGGGUUGGGCUGUUCGCCCAUUAAAGCGGUACGCGAGCUGGGUUCAGAACGUCGUGAGACAGUUCGGUCCCUAUCCGUCGUGGGCGUAGGAAAUUUGAGAGGAGCUGUCCUUAGUACGAGAGGACCGGGAUGGACAUACCUCUGGUGUACCAGUUGUCGUGCCAACGGCAUAGCUGGGUAGCUAUGUGUGGACGGGAUAAGUGCUGAAAGCAUCUAAGCAUGAAGCCCCCCUCAAGAUGAGAUUUCCCAACUUCGGUUAUAAGAUCCCUCAAAGAUGAUGAGGUUAAUAGGUUCGAGGUGGAAGCAUGGUGACAUGUGGAGCUGACGAAUACUAAUCGAUCGAAGACUUAAUCAA
This 2921-nucleotide ribosomal RNA is filed under the name Staphylococcus aureus. Its description in RNAcentral is "23S ribosomal RNA". It matches the Rfam family "Bacterial large subunit ribosomal RNA". The record is from RNAcentral. Lineage: Bacteria; Bacillati; Bacillota; Bacilli; Caryophanales; Staphylococcaceae.